GCAGAAGUAGUUCAGCGUUAGAAUACAACCUUGCCAAGGUUGGGGUCGCGGGUUCGAAUCCCGUCUUCUGCUCCA
This 75-nucleotide transfer RNA is filed under the name Staphylococcus aureus. Its description in RNAcentral is "tRNA-Gly". It matches the Rfam family "tRNA". Rfam says of the family: Transfer RNA (tRNA) molecules are approximately 80 nucleotides in length. Their secondary structure includes four short double-helical elements and three loops (D, anti-codon, and T loops). The record is from RNAcentral. Lineage: Bacteria; Bacillati; Bacillota; Bacilli; Caryophanales; Staphylococcaceae.